UUGAAACAGCAGAGCAACAUCAAAAUUUUUUAAAACCCCAUAGAGCCACAAGUCUCAGCUUGUCUGUGUGCGUCUUCUAUUACAAACCCCAAGAGAAAAAUGGCGGCAAUUAGAACCACCACAAGCAUGAUCCUCAAGGAGAUGUUCAGUAACAGGCUACCAUCGUCGUCUUCUUCCUUGGCUACAUCGACCUCGACCUGUUUAUCGCUUCCCAACUUACAUGGAACCGCCCUGACAUUUACGCGCCGCCAAUUCAGCUUCAGCAGGAUUCUAUGCGCCGCGUCCGAUGAAAAAAAGGUGUCGGCCCGGUUGUCUCAGAUUAAUCACCUCCUGCAAGAAGCUGAGGAGCGAGCCAGCUCUGCUGGGAGUGAGCCGCCUCCAAAAAUUACUCUUGACCAUGUCACAGUGAAUUUUGCUAGAAGUGGUGGACCUGGAGGUCAGAAUGUGAAUAAAGUGAACACCAAGGUGGACAUGCGCUUCAAUGUCAAAGAUGCAUACUGGCUAAGUGACAGGAUAAGGGAGAGGAUUAUGCAAAUGGAAAAGAAUCGAAUAAACAAGGAUGGUGAGCUUGUGAUUUCUUCAACAAAGACUAGAACCCAGAAGGGUAACAUUGAAGAUGCUUUAUCAAAGCUGCAGGCUAUCAUUGAUGCUGCUUCUUAUGUCCCUCCUCCACCUUCAGAAGAGCAAAAGAAGAAAAUUGCCAAAAUCUGCUUCUUUUUUAUAAUGCAAUGGAUUUCUGAGUUGAGUAGAUUGUCAAGGUAAUACGCAUGAACUUCAAAAUUUUCAUGUUUAUAAAGGGCUGCUAUAGGGGAGCAGAAACGACUUAAAAGUAAGAAGGCUCUUUCAGACAAGAAGGCUUUUAGAAGAAGUAGGGACAGCUGGGACUAACUUUUCACAUGGGUAACUGAAUAAUAUCUGCUAUACUUUGACAAGAAAAUCCAUUCAACAAGUACGUAGUGAUGGGAUCAAACUGCACGGUGAAGAGUGAAGACACCUUCAGAGGGGGAGACUAAAUGGAAAGUGCUUUUGUACCUUUGACCUUAUUACUGUCAUUUUUUCAACACUAAAUCAAUAGUUAUCUAUUUAGAUUUGUAUUCAUUAUUAGGCUUAUAAACAAAUGUGAUGUUCACGCUAAAAUUUUUACAGGUGGAGACUUGAGAGUUCCAUUUGUUAAAAAGUUGCGUACUACUUGAAAAUUGGUCAAUCACGGCUUUCAUGGCCUUAGUUUUAUCUGUUCGAAUACAAAUUUGAUUGUGCAGCAUUUGCUGUGCAAUAUUUCACUGUA
Molecule: RNA transcript, 1285 nt
Organism: Manihot esculenta (cassava)
Lineage: Eukaryota; Viridiplantae; Streptophyta; Magnoliopsida; Malpighiales; Euphorbiaceae
Gene name: peptidyl-tRNA hydrolase ICT1, mitochondrial
Exons: 8
Source: RefSeq, a predicted model, not a curated record